This 359-nucleotide unclassified non-coding RNA is filed under the name Hevea brasiliensis (rubber tree). The record is from RNAcentral. Lineage: Eukaryota; Viridiplantae; Streptophyta; Magnoliopsida; Malpighiales; Euphorbiaceae.
ACUCCCCAACAUAAUGAAAGCAAAAUCAAAAGUAAUUAAGAAAGUUACCCCGGAAGAACUGAACGUGGAGAUCAAGUCGGAUCUGGAGGUGGUUGAAGUCACCGAACCUCCAAAGAGGAAAGCUGGAGUUAUUCUUUCCUCUGUGGAUGAGCUCAUCGACAAGCUAAAAAAUGAAGCUCGUGUUUUGUGAUCUGAUCACCUUGAUCGCACACAUACAUCUGGUUGAUCGAUGCCACUGGCUGUUAUGCUCCGUCUCAGUAAGCAAUGCAUUUUAUAUUUAUUAAAUAAUUUAUGCAAAGGAUAUCCUUGUUCAAUUUUAAUGAGUAAACUGUACUAAAUGUUUUGUUGGAGAGUGGCCG